Molecule: ribosomal RNA, 261 nt
Filed under: uncultured prokaryote
Description: partial 16S ribosomal RNA
Rfam family: Bacterial small subunit ribosomal RNA
Source: RNAcentral
UACGUAGGUGGCAAGCGUUGUCCGGAUUUAUUGGGCGUAAAGUGAGCGCAGGCGGUUCCUUAAGUCUGAUGUGAAGGCCCACGGCUCAACCGUGGAAGGUCAUUGGAAACUGGGGAACUUGAGUGCAGAAGAGGAGAGUGGAAUUCCAUGUGUAGCGGUGAAAUGCGUAGAUAUAUGGAGGAACACCAGUGGCGAAGGCGACUCUCUGGUCUGUAACUGACGCUGAGGCUCGAAAGCGUGGGGAGCAAACAGGAUUAGAUA